UCGCAGAUAAGUGUAGAAGGAUAGUGUGUGGGGGGGUUGUAACUAGUAGUUAGGGAGCUCUUGUGUAGCGGGUUAGUAAUCCUAGGACUGUGCCCAUUGGUAGGAGCCUCUAGUGUAUGCUACUAAUAGAUGGGUGUCCUUUCUUAUUUCUUAUUUCCUAUUCUUAUUUUUGUAUUGCUCUUAUUUAUAUUUUUAUUAUUUCUUAUUUCUUAUUUCGGUUAUGCCACCCAUCCUAUUUCAUGUAUUACUAUGACCUUGUUAACUAUUCUUUAUCUUGAGCCGGGGGUCUAUCGUAAACAACCUCUCUACUUUUUUGGAGGUAGCGGUAUGGACUGUGUAUAUUUUACCAUCCCUAGACCCUAGUUGGUGGGAAUACACUAGGUUU
This 385-nucleotide long non-coding RNA is filed under the name Capsicum annuum. Its description in RNAcentral is "long non-coding RNA (CANN_LNC019194)". The record is from RNAcentral. Lineage: Eukaryota; Viridiplantae; Streptophyta; Magnoliopsida; Solanales; Solanaceae.